Molecule: ribosomal RNA, 440 nt
Filed under: uncultured Acidovorax sp.
Lineage: Bacteria; Pseudomonadati; Pseudomonadota; Betaproteobacteria; Burkholderiales; Comamonadaceae
Description: bacterial SSU rRNA
Rfam family: Bacterial small subunit ribosomal RNA
Source: RNAcentral
AUGAUGUGGUUUAAUCGAUGCAACGCGAAAACCUUACCCACCUUUGACAUGUACGGAAUCCUCUAGAGAUAGAGGAGUGCUCGAAAGAGAGCCGUAACACAGGUGCUGCAUGGCUGUCGUCAGCUCGUGUCGUGAGAUGUUGGGUUAAGUCCCGCAACGAGCGCAACCCUUGCCAUUAGUUGCUACGAAAGGGCACUCUAAUGGGACUGCCGGUGACAAACCGGAGGAAGUGGGGAUGACGUCAAGUCCUCAUGGCCCUUAUAGGUGGGGCUACACACGUCAUACAAUGGCCGGUACAGAGGGUAGCCAACCCGCGAGGGGGAGCCAAUCCCACAAAGCCGGUCGUAGUCCGGAUCGCAGUCUGCAACUCCGACUGCGUGAAGUCGGAAUCGCUAGUAAUCGCGGAUCAGCAUGUCGCGGUGAAUACGUUCCCGGGUCUU